RNAcentral lists this ribosomal RNA (434 nucleotides) under uncultured bacterium. Its description in RNAcentral is "bacterial SSU rRNA". It matches the Rfam family "Bacterial small subunit ribosomal RNA", at positions 55 to 507 of the family's 1533-position model. The record is from RNAcentral.
AUGCAAGUCGAACGGUAACAGGGAGCUUGCUCCGCGUGACGAGGUGGCGGAACGGUGAGUAAUGUAUCGGAACGUACCUUUCAGGUGGGGAUAACGUAGCGAAAGUUACGCUAAUACCGCAUAUUCUGUGAGCAGGAAAGCAGGGGAUCGCAAGACCUUGCGCUGAUUGAGCGGCCGAUAUCAGAUUAGCUAGUUGGUGAGGUAAUGGCUCACCAAGGCGACGAUCCGUAACUGGUCUGAGAGGAUGAUCAGUCACACUGGAACUGAGACACGGUCCAGACUCCUACGGGAGGCAGCAGUGGGGAAUAUUGGACAAUGGGCGAAAGCCUGAUCCAGCAAUGCCGCGUGAGUGAUGAAGGCCUUAGGGUUGUAAAGCUCUUUUACCAGGGAUGAUAAUGACAGUACCUGGAGAAUAAGCUCCGGCUAACUCCGUG